This 2161-nucleotide long non-coding RNA is filed under the name Homo sapiens (human). RNAcentral describes it as "HSALNT0344701". The record is from RNAcentral. Lineage: Eukaryota; Metazoa; Chordata; Mammalia; Primates; Hominidae.
GCACAGGCACAAGAGUUAUCAGCUGUGAAUGGCCAUCAUGGGCUUUGAAUCCAGGAGUUUGAAUCACGGAAAGCAUAGGAUGGAAAUAUAGGAGGAUUCCAACCUCCUAUAUAGCUAAAGUCAGUUAGAAGUGGUCAAGGAAGCAAAGAAAAUAACAACUUAGCCAGAGAGAUAGCAGAAUAACCCAGAGAUUUUCUGGCCCCUGAAGCCAAGGGAAAAGGGCGUCAAGAGAAAUGGUAGCCAUGCUGGAUGUCACCAGGAGACAUGAGAAAGGAAGUGUGCCUCCAGGGCUAGUGACAUUAACAUCUCCUGCAAUAGAAGAUCUUGUCGAUAGAAGACCCCAUCAUGUUAGACACCAGAUGGAGUCUCCCUCUGUCACCCAGACUGGAGUGCAAUGGUGUGAUCUUGGCUCACUGCAACCUCCGCCUCCCGAGUUCAAGUGAUUCUCCUGUCUCAGCCUCCUGAGUAGCUGGGAUUACAGGCGCCUGCCAUCAUGUGCCGGCUAAUUUUGGUAUUUUUAGUAGAGAUGUGGUUUCACCAUAUCGGCCAGGUUGGUCUCAAACUCCUGACCUCAGGUGAUCAGCCCGCCUCUGCAUCCCAAACUGCUGGGAUUACAGGCGUGAGGCCACCACACCCAGCCCCGAUUACCCUUAAGUAGGAGGUACAUUCUCUUCCAUUGAAAAAGAGAGAGAGCAGAGAAUAGAUGCACAGGCAAGCAGAUCUGUAUCCAUUUUGUUGUGGGAAGUUGCUUCCUCUCUGAUGUUCUCUCUCUCUCUCUCUCUCUGUCUCUCUCUCUCUGUUUUUCUCUCUCGUGCUUCAAGUAGGGAAUGAUUAGUGAGUGAUACUGUUUGCUAAGUAGUAAGAAAAUAAAGAAGGGGAACACAGAAAGAGUGUUUCAUAGAAAAAUGCUGGCAAUGUCUAGAGACAUAUUGCUCACUGGUUUAGUCUCCAGUUUCCUCUCUUUUUUGCUCCUACCUAGAUUUCCAGUUUAACAGACCUCAAUCCUGGAAGUCUGUGUCUAUAUUUUAUAUUUUAGGUGAGACUACACAUAAUAAUGCCAAAGAGUUCAUCAUAAAAUACUAGCCUCUUUCAGUAAUAAAUAUCAAAGCCCUGUUUCUAAGCAUUCUGUGGAAUUAGGGAAACAAGUGAUUUAACUAUAUUAAAAAAAAAAAAAGUUAGGCUCUAGAUUUAACGUUUUCAACCUCAUUUGAUCUAGCAAUAUUCAAGGAAAGGCCAUACAAAUUAUUUUGCAUGAAAUUAAAAUGUUGAACUUUUUCACAUGUCAAAAAUGCUUUGAUGAUGCAAACUUUUCUUAGAGAUUGCAUAUUUGAAGGAAUAAAAAGGAUAAAGUUCAAUCACUGAUUUUUUUUCUCUUUUUGUGGUGAAAGUUGAACAUGAACAAUGCAGGUACCCAUUAUCUGUGCUAAGGCAAGGCAUACAUACCUGAGAGACCUACAGACUUACUGCCAUAUGGAUCAACUCCGUGCACAAUGGGACUCUCUGUGUCCUGAAGGGACGAGAGCUCAGAGGGACAUAGUGACAAAUGGGAAAGCUACAUGAUGAUGAGACUCCCCAGUUGAGCACACAGUUGACUACGGCCAUGGGAGAGAGUGUGUGCAGGUGGGAUGGGAGUACAGGUGAAGCUUAGGUAACACCCGUACCUCAUCAUCCCCUGUGCGUCUGUGAAACCGCCUUUACAAAAUUAUACCUGAGGAAAUUAUGACAGUGAAAGAAACCAGACCUAACCAACUCCAUCUUGCUUCUAACCUUUAAGCUGUCCUUGUUCAUUCCUGGACAUAGAUUGAAUUAAUUUGGGAAGGAAUUCAAUUCCUGGUUUGACUCUGAAACAAAAUUGAUCAUGGCCCUUUCCCGAAAAGACCCCCUUCUUGCCUGGGGACCAGUCUGUCUUUGCAGGACUAACAAAUUACCUGUAAGAUUAGACAUUAUGGUUUAGGGGUCAUGCAGCCUCUGGUUCCAAGUCUGAACCUCCCCAAAUUGCUCCUGGGAUCACAUCACUAUUGUAAAACCUAACAUCAGUGCUUGAGAUAUGUUGCAGACCCUGCACCUGGUGGAUCAGCUGACACCACCCAAACCGGUAAUCUGGCCCAACCAGUUCUGCCAUCGCACUCGGGAACAGCAGACAGCAAGAAAAACUCACUUC